This 254-nucleotide ribosomal RNA is filed under the name uncultured bacterium. RNAcentral's name for it is "partial 16S ribosomal RNA". It matches the Rfam family "Bacterial small subunit ribosomal RNA", at positions 524 to 776 of the family's 1533-position model. The record is from RNAcentral.
UACGGGGGGGGGCAAGCGUUGUUCGGAAUUACUGGGCGUAAAGGGUUCGUAGGUGGCUGGCUAAGUCAGACGUGAAAUCCCUCAGCUCAACUGGGGAACUGCGUCUGAGACUGGUCAGCUUGAGUGCAGGAGAGGAACGCGGAAUUCCAGGUGUAGCGGUGAAAUGCGUAGAUAUCUGGAGGAACACCGGUGGCGAAGGCGGCGUUCUGGACUGCAACUGACACUGAGGAACGAAAGCCAGGGGAGCAAACGGG